UGACGUAGGGUGCAAGCGUUGUCCGGAAUUAUUGGGCGUAAAGAGCUCGGUAGGCGGCUUGUUGGCGUCAGCUGUGAAAACCCGCAGCUCAACUGUGGGCUUGCAGCUGAUACGGGCAGGCUUGAGUUCGGUAGGGGAGACUGGAAUUCCUGGAUGUAGCGGUGAAAUGACGCAGAUAUCAGGAGGAACACCGGUGGCGAAGGCGGGUCUCUGGACAGUGAUCUGACGCUGAGGCACGAAGGCCAGGGGAGCGAACGGG
This 259-nucleotide ribosomal RNA is filed under the name uncultured bacterium. RNAcentral's name for it is "partial 16S ribosomal RNA". It matches the Rfam family "Bacterial small subunit ribosomal RNA", at positions 523 to 776 of the family's 1533-position model. The record is from RNAcentral.